This 492-nucleotide ribosomal RNA is filed under the name uncultured bacterium. RNAcentral describes it as "partial 16S ribosomal RNA". It matches the Rfam family "Bacterial small subunit ribosomal RNA", at positions 29 to 507 of the family's 1533-position model. The record is from RNAcentral.
AGUGAACGCUGGCGGUAGGCCUAACACAUGCAAGUCGAACGGCAGCACAGUAAGAGCUUGCUCUUACGGGUGGCGAGUGGCGGACGGGUGAGGCAUACAUCGGAAUCUACUUUUUCUUGGGGGAUAACGGAGGGAAACUUACGCUAAUACCGCAUACGACCUACGGGUGAAAGCAGGGGAUCUUCGGACCUUGCGCGAUUGAAUGAGCCGAUGUCGGAUUAGCUAGUUGGCGGGGUAAAGGCCCACCAAGGCGACGAUCCGUAGCUGGUCUGAGAGGAUGAUCAGCCACACUGGAACUGAGACACGGUCCAGACUCCUACGGGAGGCAGCAGUGGGGAAUAUUGGACAAUGGGCGCAAGCCUGAUCCAGCCAUACCGCGUGGGUGAAGAAGGCCUUCGGGUUGUAAAGCCCUUUUGUUGGGAAAGAAAAGCAGCAGGUUAAUACCCCGCUGUUCUGACGGUACCCAAAGAAUAAGCACCGGCUAACUUCGUG